AUGGGUGCAUACAAAUAGAUCCAGGAGCUAGGGAGGAAAAAGCAGACCGAUGUGUUGCCCUUUCUUCUGAGGGUCCGCUGCUGGCAGUACCGUCAGCUCUCUGCGCUGCACAGGGCUCCCCGCCUCAUCCAGCCUGAUAAAGCUCUUUGGCUGGGAUACAAGGCUAAGCAAGGAUUCAUGUCCGCCAUAGUGGUUGCAGACGCCCGGUUCCAAAGGGUGCAGGCCUGCCCACCAUGGUGUUAACCAGCUAGAAUUUGCCCAAAGCCUUCAGUCUAUUGCCGAGGAGAGAGCUGGGCGCCGUGGUGGGGCUUUGAAAGUCCUCAGUCCACGUGUAAAUGUUUUGAGGUUGUCCUCAUUGAUCCAUUCCAUAAAGCUAUCAGAAGAAAUUCUGACACCCAGUGAAUCACCAAAUCAGUCCACAAAUGCAGAGACGCAUGGACUGACAUUCGCCAACCACAGGAGCCACGCUGUGGAAAAGACCACAAGUUCUACCACGCUAUUGGUGGCUCUUGCCACAAAGCCUAGAGAAGGUGCAAUACUUUCCAGUUCCACCGUU
Molecule: long non-coding RNA, 556 nt
Filed under: Mus musculus (house mouse)
Lineage: Eukaryota; Metazoa; Chordata; Mammalia; Rodentia; Muridae
Description: long non-coding RNA chr19:15943609-15944165
Source: RNAcentral